ACACAUGCAAGUCGAACGGCAGCAUGAUCUAGCUUGCUAGAUUGAUGGCGAGUGGCGAACGGGUGAGUAAUACAUCGGAACGUGCCCUGUAGUGGGGGAUAACUAGUCGAAAGAUUAGCUAAUACCGCAUACGACCUGAGGGUGAAAGUGGGGGACCGCAAGGCCUCAUGCUAUAGGAGCGGCCGAUGUCUGAUUAGCUAGUUGGUGAGGUAAAGGCUCACCAAGGCGACGAUCAGUAGCUGGUCUGAGAGGACGAUCAGCCACACUGGGACUGAGACACGGCCCAGACUCCUACGGGAGGCAGCAGUGGGGAAUUUUGGACAAUGGGCGAAAGCCUGAUCCAGCAAUGCCGCGUGUGUGAAGAAGGCCUUCGGGUUGUAAAGCACUUUUGUCCGGAAAGAAAUGGCUCUGGUUAAUACCUGGGGUCGAUGACGGUACCGGAAGAAUAAGGACCGGCUAACUACGUGCCAGCAGCCGCGGUAAUACGUAGGGUCCAAGCGUUAAUCGGAAUUACUGGGCGUAAAGCGUGCGCAGGCGGUUGUGCAAGACCGAUGUGAAAUCCCCGAGCUUAACUUGGGAAUUGCAUUGGUGACUGCACGGCUAGAGUGUGUCAGAGGGGGGUAGAAUUCCACGUGUAGCAGUGAAAUGCGUAGAGAUGUGGAGGAAUACCGAUGGCGAA
This 679-nucleotide ribosomal RNA is filed under the name unidentified microorganism. Its description in RNAcentral is "bacterial SSU rRNA". It matches the Rfam family "Bacterial small subunit ribosomal RNA", at positions 51 to 719 of the family's 1533-position model. The record is from RNAcentral.